RNAcentral lists this ribosomal RNA (2893 nucleotides) under Enterobacter cloacae. Its description in RNAcentral is "bacterial LSU rRNA". It matches the Rfam family "Bacterial large subunit ribosomal RNA". The record is from RNAcentral. Lineage: Bacteria; Pseudomonadati; Pseudomonadota; Gammaproteobacteria; Enterobacterales; Enterobacteriaceae.
ACUAAGCGUACACGGUGGAUGCCCUGGCAGUCAGAGGCGAUGAAGGACGUGCUAAUCUGCGAAAAGCGCCGGCGAGGUGAUAUGAACCUUUGACCCGGCGAUGUCCGAAUGGGGAAACCCAGUGUGAUUCGUCACACUAUCGUUAACUGAAUACAUAGGUUAACGAGGCGAACCGGGGGAACUGAAACAUCUAAGUACCCCGAGGAAAAGAAAUCAACCGAGAUUCCCCCAGUAGCGGCGAGCGAACGGGGAGCAGCCCAGAGUCUGAAUCAGCUUGUGUGUUAGUGGAAGCGUCUGGAAAGUCGCACGGUACAGGGUGACAGUCCCGUACACGAAAGCACACAGGUUGUGAACUCGAAGAGUAGGGCGGGACACGUGGUAUCCUGUCUGAAUAUGGGGGGACCAUCCUCCAAGGCUAAAUACUCCUGACUGACCGAUAGUGAACCAGUACCGUGAGGGAAAGGCGAAAAGAACCCCGGCGAGGGGAGUGAAAAAGAACCUGAAACCGUGUACGUACAAGCAGUGGGAGCACCUUCGUGGUGUGACUGCGUACCUUUUGUAUAAUGGGUCAGCGACUUAUAUUCUGUAGCAAGGUUAACCGUAUAGGGGAGCCGAAGGGAAACCGAGUCUUAACUGGGCGUUAAGUUGCAGGGUAUAGACCCGAAACCCGGUGAUCUAGCCAUGGGCAGGUUGAAGGUUGGGUAACACUAACUGGAGGACCGAACCGACUAAUGUUGAAAAAUUAGCGGAUGACUUGUGGCUGGGGGUGAAAGGCCAAUCAAACCGGGAGAUAGCUGGUUCUCCCCGAAAGCUAUUUAGGUAGCGCCUCGUGAACUCAUCUUCGGGGGUAGAGCACUGUUUCGGCUAGGGGGCCAUCCCGGCUUACCAACCCGAUGCAAACUACGAAUACCGAAGAAUGUUAUCACGGGAGACACACGGCGGGUGCUAACGUCCGUCGUGAAGAGGGAAACAACCCAGACCGCCAGCUAAGGUCCCAAAGUCAUGGUUAAGUGGGAAACGAUGUGGGAAGGCACAGACAGCCAGGAUGUUGGCUUAGAAGCAGCCAUCAUUUAAAGAAAGCGUAAUAGCUCACUGGUCGAGUCGGCCUGCGCGGAAGAUGUAACGGGGCUAAACCAUGCACCGAAGCUGCGGCAGCGACACUAUGUGUUGUUGGGUAGGGGAGCGUUCUGUAAGCCGUUGAAGGUGUGCUGUGAGGCAUGCUGGAGGUAUCAGAAGUGCGAAUGCUGACAUAAGUAACGAUAAAGCGGGUGAAAAGCCCGCUCGCCGGAAGACCAAGGGUUCCUGUCCAACGUUAAUCGGGGCAGGGUGAGUCGACCCCUAAGGCGAGGCCGAAAGGCGUAGUCGAUGGGAAACAGGUUAAUAUUCCUGUACUUGGUGUUACUGCGAAGGGGGGACGGAGAAGGCUAUGUUAGCCGGGCGACGGUUGUCCCGGUUUAAGCAUGUAGGCGGAGGUUCCAGGUAAAUCCGGUACCUUUUAACGCUGAGGUGUGAUGACGAGGCACUACGGUGCUGAAGUAACAAAUGCCCUGCUUCCAGGAAAAGCCUCUAAGCAUCAGGUAACAUCAAAUCGUACCCCAAACCGACACAGGUGGUCAGGUAGAGAAUACCAAGGCGCUUGAGAGAACUCGGGUGAAGGAACUAGGCAAAAUGGUGCCGUAACUUCGGGAGAAGGCACGCUGAUAUGUAGGUGAAGCCCCUGCGGGUGGAGCUGAAAUCAGUCGAAGAUACCAGCUGGCUGCAACUGUUUAUUAAAAACACAGCACUGUGCAAACACGAAAGUGGACGUAUACGGUGUGACGCCUGCCCGGUGCCGGAAGGUUAAUUGAUGGGGUUAGCGGUAACGCGAAGCUCUUGAUCGAAGCCCCGGUAAACGGCGGCCGUAACUAUAACGGUCCUAAGGUAGCGAAAUUCCUUGUCGGGUAAGUUCCGACCUGCACGAAUGGCGUAAUGAUGGCCAGGCUGUCUCCACCCGAGACUCAGUGAAAUUGAACUCGCUGUGAAGAUGCAGUGUACCCGCGGCAAGACGGAAAGACCCCGUGAACCUUUACUAUAGCUUGACACUGAACACUGGUCCUUGAUGUGUAGGAUAGGUGGGAGGCUUUGAAGUGUGGACGCCAGUCUGCAUGGAGCCGUCCUUGAAAUACCACCCUUUAAUGGCUGGUGUUCUAACGUAGACCCGUGAUCCGGGUUGCGGACAGUGUCUGGUGGGUAGUUUGACUGGGGCGGUCUCCUCCCAAAGAGUAACGGAGGAGCACGAAGGUUAGCUAAUCCUGGUCGGACAUCAGGAGGUUAGUGCAAUGGCAUAAGCUAGCUUGACUGCGAGAGUGACGGCUCGAGCAGGUGCGAAAGCAGGUCAUAGUGAUCCGGUGGUUCUGAAUGGAAGGGCCAUCGCUCAACGGAUAAAAGGUACUCCGGGGAUAACAGGCUGAUACCGCCCAAGAGUUCAUAUCGACGGCGGUGUUUGGCACCUCGAUGUCGGCUCAUCACAUCCUGGGGCUGAAGUAGGUCCCAAGGGUAUGGCUGUUCGCCAUUUAAAGUGGUACGCGAGCUGGGUUUAGAACGUCGUGAGACAGUUCGGUCCCUAUCUGCCGUGGGCGCUGGAGAAUUGAGGGGGGCUGCUCCUAGUACGAGAGGACCGGAGUGGACGCAUCACUGGUGUUCGGGUUGUCAUGCCAAUGGCACUGCCCGGUAGCUAAAUGCGGAAAAGAUAAGUGCUGAAAGCAUCUAAGCACGAAACUUGCCCCGAGAUGAGUUCUCCCUGAGACUUUAAGUCUCCUGAAGGAACGUUGAAGACGACGACGUUGAUAGGUCGGGUGUGUAAGCGCAGCGAUGCGUUGAGCUAACCGAUACUAAUGAACCGUGAGGCUUAACC